Molecule: long non-coding RNA, 1937 nt
Filed under: Homo sapiens (human)
Lineage: Eukaryota; Metazoa; Chordata; Mammalia; Primates; Hominidae
Description: HSALNT0115189
Source: RNAcentral
CACACAUUGCUGGCUCGAUAAAGUGUUUUGCUCUAUAAAUGUAAUUUGUGAUUCAAAACAUUUCAUUAGCCCUUACUGUAUACUAGGAACUGAGCUAAACAUUCAGAAUAAAGACAAUAAAGAUGAACUGAUAUUUUACCAUAUUAUAUUUUUCUUCAGCAUCAACAUACUAUAUAUUCAUGGUAAAAAUUUUGAAGUUUAAAAAUAAGUACAUAAGCAGGAGGUGGGGAAACUCACAUAAUCCCAUCACCCAGAGGCGACCUGUGUAAUACCAGUGAAGUCUAAAGAGUAGUACCAAGAAUGACCCUGAGUCCUGCGUCUGAGGCUGGUUUGAGAAGGUUCCAGAGCUUGGGCAGCCUUACAAGCAGCAGCACAGAAGGCCCUGGAGAUGCCAGGGGUUGAAGCAGCCAAUUGGUACAUGCUGCUGUAUUUUCAGCCAGCGUUAGCGUGACCAGCUGUCCUUCUUUGCCCAGUGUUUGGACAUAGGACUUGAAGUGCCCAGUGUUAGCACCUCCUGGGGAACCCCUCAGUCCCCAGCAACUCAGGACAGACAGUUGGUGACCCUAAGCAGAUGUUUCUUCCUGUUAUGAAGAAAAAAGGUCUGAGGACUUCGGACGGCUGCGAUGUGAUAGAAGUAAUGCUGGAGUCAGAAGUCCUGAGUCCAAGCCAAGGUCUGCCACUUACUAGGGGCACAAAUGUCAGCAUCCACCCACUUCUGGCUAAGAGAGCCACAGAAACAGAGGCAGAUUAAAAGGAUAUUGAAUAAGAUGAAGCUUAAUCUUCUCAUCUGAAGAACAAAACUAAUAUUUUACAAACAAGGUGGAAGCGUUGUGAGCCAUCUGGGCCCCUCAAACAUGGACUUUGGUAAAAGCCUGAGCUGGCCCUGGGCAAGUAGUGCACGAGGUGCCAGAGGCUAAGUGGAGCCGUCUGCAGCUUUGAACGAAGCUUGGCCAGGAGGAUGCUCUGGCCAACACAAUUGACUUCCUGGUCUCUGCAUCGAGAUAAAGCCAUCCUCAAGGAAGAAUGCCAAAAAUAGGACAUCUUAGAAUACAAAGGAAACAAACAUUGUUUUUUCCUGACAUUGAUCCUCUUGACGUGCGACGCCAAAAGAUAACUUAGCCCCCUUAAGAGAACAUCUCCCUCCCAAUAGAAAGAAGGGGGAAAAAAUGCAGUUCCAUCUGUGAGCCAUCUGAUUUUCAGACUGAACAAUUUCUGAGGCUCAGAGGCAGCUUUUUGACCAUGGUCAAAAGCUACCAAGCCGCUGGAUUUCAGGCAUCAGCACAUUUUCCGGUGUCUCCAAACACCUCCAAGGCAGCUUUUCGUGUCAGUAAUUUACAACCAAUAACUAAGCUCUUACUUAUUAUUCUUUUCCUGUGUCUUUGCUUAGCAGUGAAAACUGUGUGUCUAGUUGUUUAUUUCACCUGCCCAGACCUGAUGGAGGGUGAAAUAAAAGCAAACAGGCAGACUCAACCAGUGGAUGAGCAGAUUUGUGAUCUGGCCCGGAAAAUGUCCAUUCUGAAGACAAAGUCCCAGCAUAAGGGAUGAAAAGUGCUAUGGUGGGUUGCUGCAUGUUUGUUGCCUCAUGCUUUGUCCAGGAUUCUCUUCUUUCCCUUUGGUCUGGAAGUUGCUUUUUGCAGGCAUCUUACAAGUAGAAAGAAUGGUCUUCCAGGAGCUCCCUCCUAAUGCUCUAAGGAUUUGAUUUCUUGCUCUCAGACAGUCAUUUUCAUGCACAUUUUGCAAAACAUGGAAAUAGAUGCAUCGGUCUGCUUCUGGAAGUGCUGCCCCUUGGGAGGGAGCUGGGAGGGACCUUCAGUCCUGUUCUCAGCAUGGACUUUAGUUACAUGCCUACAUCUGUGGAACGCGUAUCUAUGACCCUCUUGUCUGUGUCCAGGCAGCUGGCCAAGAGGGAGAGAGACUAAAGGACAAAAAAGAGGGAG